ACCGGUGCCCCGUGCGAGCGGGGCCUAGAGGGAAUUUUACGGGUAUCCCGGACCGGAAUGGCCGGUGCGCGAUGCUGCGUGAAAGCUGCCCCCGCAACUGUUUCCGGAGAGUGCCUGUCCGAUUGUGCCACUGGUGCCGGGUCCGGAUAAUCGGACCGCGCCGGGAAGGACGGGCAGGGCGAAGACCCGGAUAGCCGGGAGGUCUGUCGUU
This 211-nucleotide non-coding RNA is filed under the name Novosphingobium nitrogenifigens. The record is from RNAcentral. Lineage: Bacteria; Pseudomonadati; Pseudomonadota; Alphaproteobacteria; Sphingomonadales; Sphingomonadaceae. RNAcentral also lists the same sequence under 1 other name.